Long non-coding RNA from Spodoptera frugiperda (fall armyworm), 666 nucleotides. RefSeq lists it as uncharacterized. The record is from RefSeq and is a predicted model, not a curated record. The transcript is spliced from 2 exons. NCBI's taxonomy places the organism in Eukaryota, Metazoa, Arthropoda, Insecta, Lepidoptera, Noctuidae.
AAAUUCGAGUAGCGUAAACUGUUAGUAUUUUUAUAUUUAUCAGUAUACGACGUGCCGUGUUUUGUCUGUAUGACAAUUAUACAUUUAGCCAUCUCCUCACAUUAGUGAAAUAGCUAUAAUAUCGGUGUAUUUCAUAUAAUCGUUGUUUUGCCUUAUUACGGCAUAGUUGUUUUUCAGUAAUUUCAAAGAAAACGGAUCACCAGCUUCUGUCAAAAAGAAAGCCAAUGGAUUUUGCAAAAGAUGGAAAACGCUGUUAAAAUGGUAGAAAGGGGUAAACGGGGUGAAUAGAUACAGAAAAGGGGUGAAUGGAUAUCGGGAAAUUCUUCAUAGUAUCUAUUCACCCUUCGAAUUUUAUACACCCUGUUUUACCCGGUAGGCUGCUGCAGCCAGAUAUAACAUCCAAAGAAGUACGCAUCAUCUAAAGAGUGGUUUCCACUACACGAAAGCUAGGUCGGUCGCUAAAUUGGCUACAGAACAAGAAGUUAUUCUCAUUCGUUUGACUGAUGCUGGGGUGCCGAUGACUUCAAAGAUGUUACUUGGGUAUUACAUGAUGAGAAACUCGUUUAGCCUGAUGUAUAAUGACAAAAAUUAAUUAAUAAGAUCUCAUUACAUUUAUUAUAAGCAUUGACAAAGUUUUGUUAUAAUUAAGAAGUUGAAUACUUACUA